UGGGUAAAUUGUGUUCUAGAAUAGGAUGUGACCUACGGGAUAAUUAACUGAUAAAAAAAAAAAAUGUAGUUAAUAAACAGAACAAAUGAGAAACUGUUUGUUAACCAAACCUGUAUGUCCAAGAUUUUAUGCACUACAGGUGAACUACAGGUGAAGUCACUCAAUCCAGUCCCAUAGGCUUGUUGGGGGGACCAUACCAAGGACUUCUGGUGACAGCUAGCUGAAAGAGCUACCCGGAUUCAUAUCGCACUGCGGGAGGUUAUUAUUUCCAGGACCCUGGAGUAAUCUAUGACAAUAGAUGAUGCGGUGUGGGACGAUUCCAGGUUCUGACCCGUGGAGGACUGAAUGCCUGACUACAGGACAAGUGGACAAAUCUGGAUCUUUCAUCAUUGGGGAAUUUAUGUUUGAUGAGACUAGUGUUGAGGAUAGAAUUAGAUUGUACUUUGUUUCAAUAUUAGACUGUUUUUUAAUAAAGAUUGUAACGAAAAUCCUGAAAGAAGGGUUAUGAUUCUGAUGUAGGUUUAAAAACAGUUGGAGUUAAGGUUAGUUUGAUUAAUGAUGGGUGAACAGUCGGAUAAACAUUUAUAAUAAUGUUGGUUAUGUGUCUAUUGAUAUGAUAAUCUGAUAAACCUUUAUAAUAAGGUUAGUUAUUAGUAGGUUAAUAUUUUUAUUUUUUAUGUUUAAUAAAACUAGAUGUAGAAUUGAAUGUAUAAUAUUUAAUCAAAGGGAGGAUUGUUGGAGGAAAUUAUAGUUGAAAUGAUUAAUAAUGUAUACAUUUCAAUUAGAACCAUUUAUUCUAAUACUAUUAUGUUAUGGUAUGAAAUGUAUGGGUUCUUGGUUAAGCUGUUACUGAAAAUGUAAGUAAAACAAAUUAAUUGUCUGUACCUUGCGGGAGGUUUAAGGGAGAGGGAUGAUAUAUCUUUUCUGACAGAUAAGAAUGGUCCUUGAUAUUCCAGUAGUGGAGGAGAAGAUAUCUUUUAGACAGAUUGGAAUGUUUGGUUUAUGAGGGGAGUAGAAGAAAUCUCCAGACCUGAAAACACUGCGCUAUUGUGUGGAUCGGAGAGAGUGUGAGAAACUGAUAAUGUCAUUUUAUGUUCUCUCUUUAAAAUGUAAGGUUCUUUGUAUUUUUGGUUAGUACUCUCUUAAAUUAAACGCUGUUACCUGGC
Long non-coding RNA from Oncorhynchus keta (chum salmon), 1166 nucleotides. RefSeq lists it as uncharacterized. The transcript is spliced from 2 exons. The record is from RefSeq and is a predicted model, not a curated record. NCBI's taxonomy places the organism in Eukaryota, Metazoa, Chordata, Actinopteri, Salmoniformes, Salmonidae.